Molecule: ribosomal RNA, 305 nt
Filed under: uncultured bacterium
Lineage: Bacteria
Description: bacterial SSU rRNA
Rfam family: Bacterial small subunit ribosomal RNA
Source: RNAcentral
CUUUCCUACGGGGGGCAGCAGUGAGGAAUAUUGGUCAAUGGGCGAGAGCCUGAACCAGCCAAGUCGCGUGAGGGAGUACUGCCCUAUGGGUUGUAAACCUCUUUUGUCAGGGAGCAACGCCGGCUACGUGUAGCCGGACUGAGAGUACCUGAAGAAAAAGCAUCGGCUAACUCCGUGCCAGCAGCCGCGGUAAUACGGAGGAUGCGAGCGUUAUCCGGAUUUAUUGGGUUUAAAGGGUGCGUAGGCGGAAUGCCAAGUCAGCGGUAAAAUCGCGGGGCUCAACCUCGCUACGCCGUUGAAACUGG